AACCAAGGUGAUUCCCUCUCCUAGGGGCCAGCUUGUGCCCCCCCUUCAGGAAAGUAGCAACUUGGAAUAGAAUCUGGCAUGCCUAAGGUCUUCCAAGGAGAAAGGAAUGUCUUUCCUUUUGCCUUCUUUUAGCUGCCUACAUAA
This 144-nucleotide small nucleolar RNA is filed under the name Procavia capensis (Cape rock hyrax). RNAcentral's name for it is "Small nucleolar RNA SNORA67 (ENSPCAG00000019786.1)". It matches the Rfam family "Small nucleolar RNA SNORA67". Rfam says of the family: U67 belongs to the H/ACA class of snoRNAs which are thought to guide the sites of modification of uridines to pseudouridines. Lineage: Eukaryota; Metazoa; Chordata; Mammalia; Hyracoidea; Procaviidae. The record is from RNAcentral.